RNAcentral lists this ribosomal RNA (1900 nucleotides) under gut metagenome. Its description in RNAcentral is "bacterial LSU rRNA". It matches the Rfam family "Bacterial large subunit ribosomal RNA", at positions 1021 to 2925 of the family's 2925-position model. The record is from RNAcentral.
AACAACCCAGACCGCCAGCUAAGGUCCCAAAGAUUGGCUAAGUGGAAAACGAAGUGGGAAGGCUAAAACAGUCAGGAGGUUGGCUUAGAAGCAGCCAUCCUUUAAAGAAAGCGUAAUAGCUCACUGAUCGAGUCGUCCUGCGCGGAAGAUGUAACGGGGCUAAGCCAGUCACCGAAGCUGCGGAUAUCCGUAAGGAUAUGGUAGGAGAGCGUUCUGUAAGCCUGAGAAGGUGUGUUGAGAAGCAUGCUGGAGGUAUCAGAAGUGCGAAUGCUGACAUGAGUAGCGAUAAUGGGGGUGAAAAGCCCCCACGCCGUAAGCCCAAGGUUUCCUGUUCAACGUUCAUCGGAGCAGGGUGAGUCGGCCCCUAAGGCGAGGCAGAGAUGCGUAGCUGAUGGGAAGCAGGUUAAUAUUCCUGCACCGUCGUUAGAUGCGAUGGGGGGACGGAUCGCGGAAAGUCGUCCGGGUGUUGGAAGUCCCGGUUAUUGAUUCGAAGGAGGCUACUAGGCAAAUCCGGUAGCGUAAUCCAAGGAAUUGAAACGAGUGGCCUUGUGCCGCGAAGCGAUUGGAAGUGGUUCCAAGAAAAGCCUCUAAGCUUCAGUCUAACGAGACCGUACCGCAAACCGACACAGGUGGGCGAGAUGAGUAUUCUAAGGCGCUUGAGAGAACUCGGGAGAAGGAACUCGGCAAAUUGGUACCGUAACUUCGGGAUAAGGUACGCCCUUGUAUCUUGACUGGCCUGCGCCAGGAGGGAGAAGGGGUUGCAAAAAAAUGGUGGCUGCGACUGUUUAAUAAAAACACAGCACUCUGCUAACACGAAAGUGGACGUAUAGGGUGUGACGCCUGCCCGGUGCUGGAAGAUUAAAUGAUGGGGUGAGAGCUCUUGAUUGAAGUCCCAGUAAACGGCGGCCGUAACUAUAACGGUCCUAAGGUAGCGAAAUUCCUUGUCGGGUAAGUUCCGACCUGCACGAAUGGCGUAACGAUGGCCACACUGUCUCCUCCCGAGACUCAGCGAAGUUGAAAUGGUUGUGAUGAUGCAAUCUACCCGCGGCUAGACGGAAAGACCCCAUGAACCUUUACUGUAGCUUUACAUUGGACUUUGAACCAAUCUGUGUAGGAUAGGUGGGAGGCUUUGAAGCGUGAACGCCAGUUUGCGUGGAGCCGACCUUGAAAUACCACCCUGGUUUGUUUGAGGUUCUAACCUUGGCCCGUUAUCCGGGUUGGGGACAGUGUAUGGUAGGCAGUUUGACUGGGGCGGUCUCCUCCAAAAGCGUAACGGAGGAGUUCGAAGGUACGCUAGGUACGGUCGGACAUCGUGCUAAUAGUGCAAUGGCAUAAGCGUGCUUAACUGCGAGACAGACAAGUCGAGCAGGUACGAAAGUAGGACAUAGUGAUCCGGUGGUUCUGUAUGGAAGGGCCAUCGCUCAACGGAUAAAAGGUACUCUGGGGAUAACAGGCUGAUUCCUCCCAAGAGUUCAUAUCGACGGGGGAGUUUGGCACCUCGAUGUCGGCUCAUCACAUCCUGGGGCUGUAGUCGGUCCCAAGGGUAUGGCUGUUCGCCAUUUAAAGUGGUACGUGAGCUGGGUUUAAAACGUCGUGAGACAGUUUGGUCCCUAUCUGCCGUGGGCGUUGGAAGUUUGAGAGGGGCUGCUCCUAGUACGAGAGGACCGGAGUGGACGAACCUCUGGUGUACCGGUUGUCACGCCAGUGGCAUCGCCGGGUAGCUAAGUUCGGGAAAGAUAACCGCUGAAAGCAUCUAAGCGGGAAACUUGCCUCAAGAUAAGACUUCCCGGAGCCUUGAGCUCCCUGAAGAGUCGUUCGAGACCAGGACGUUGAUAGGCUGGGUGUGGAAGCGCAGUAAUGCGUUAAGCUAACCAGUACUAAUUGCUCGUGAGGCUUGUCU